RNAcentral lists this ribosomal RNA (1383 nucleotides) under Staphylococcus aureus. RNAcentral's name for it is "partial 23S ribosomal RNA". It matches the Rfam family "Bacterial large subunit ribosomal RNA", at positions 1542 to 2925 of the family's 2925-position model. The record is from RNAcentral. Lineage: Bacteria; Bacillati; Bacillota; Bacilli; Caryophanales; Staphylococcaceae.
GGUACUCGUUAAGGCUGAGCUGUGAUGGGGAGAAGACAUUGUGUCUUCGAGUCGUUGAUUUCACACUGCCGAGAAAAGCCUCUAGAUAGAAAAUAGGUGCCCGUACCGCAAACCGACACAGGUAGUCAAGAUGAGAAUUCUAAGGUGAGCGAGCGAACUCUCGUUAAGGAACUCGGCAAAAUGACCCCGUAACUUCGGGAGAAGGGGUGCUCUUUAGGGUUAACGCCCAGAAGAGCCGCAGUGAAUAGGCCCAAGCGACUGUUUAUCAAAAACACAGGUCUCUGCUAAACCGUAAGGUGAUGUAUAGGGGCUGACGCCUGCCCGGUGCUGGAAGGUUAAGAGGAGUGGUUAGCUUCUGCGAAGCUACGAAUCGAAGCCCCAGUAAACGGCGGCCGUAACUAUAACGGUCCUAAGGUAGCGAAAUUCCUUGUCGGGUAAGUUCCGACCCGCACGAAAGGCGUAACGAUUUGGGCACUGUCUCAACGAGAGACUCGGUGAAAUCAUAGUACCUGUGAAGAUGCAGGUUACCCGCGACAGGACGGAAAGACCCCGUGGAGCUUUACUGUAGCCUGAUAUUGAAAUUCGGCACAGCUUGUACAGGAUAGGUAGGAGCCUUUGAAACGUGAGCGCUAGCUUACGUGGAGGCGCUGGUGGGAUACUACCCUAGCUGUGUUGGCUUUCUAACCCGCACCACUUAUCGUGGUGGGAGACAGUGUCAGGCGGGCAGUUUGACUGGGGCGGUCGCCUCCUAAAAGGUAACGGAGGCGCUCAAAGGUUCCCUCAGAAUGGUUGGAAAUCAUUCAUAGAGUGUAAAGGCAUAAGGGAGCUUGACUGCGAGACCUACAAGUCGAGCAGGGUCGAAAGACGGACUUAGUGAUCCGGUGGUUCCGCAUGGAAGGGCCAUCGCUCAACGGAUAAAAGCUACCCCGGGGAUAACAGGCUUAUCUCCCCCAAGAGUUCACAUCGACGGGGAGGUUUGGCACCUCGAUGUCGGCUCAUCGCAUCCUGGGGCUGUAGUCGGUCCCAAGGGUUGGGCUGUUCGCCCAUUAAAGCGGUACGCGAGCUGGGUUCAGAACGUCGUGAGACAGUUCGGUCCCUAUCCGUCGUGGGCGUAGGAAAUUUGAGAGGAGCUGUCCUUAGUACGAGAGGACUGGGAUGGACAUACCUCUGGUGUACCAGUUGUCGUGCCAACGGCAUAGCUGGGUAGCUAUGUGUGGACGGGAUAAGUGCUGAAAGCAUCUAAGCAUGAAGCCCCCCUCAAGAUGAGAUUUCCCAACUUCGGUUAUAAGAUCCCUCAAAGAUGAUGAGGUUAAUAGGUUCGAGGUGGAAGCAUGGUGACAUGUGGAGCUGACGAAUACUAAUCGAUCGAAGACUUAAUCAAAA